This 278-nucleotide small RNA is filed under the name Vigna angularis var. angularis. RNAcentral describes it as "Non-protein coding transcript". Lineage: Eukaryota; Viridiplantae; Streptophyta; Magnoliopsida; Fabales; Fabaceae. The record is from RNAcentral.
CCUUCUUCGCUCGUGAAAAGUCAGGGCCUUUCUUCAUCUCCAUCCACGACCGAGUGGGGAAGCAAUGAAAGCUGUAAGCAAAGCAAAGAGUGAAUCUGAACAUGUAGGGAGAACGAGCUAGGGUUUGGUUUCACGUUUCUUCUUCCUCUUUUUGUAGGAGCACUCGCUCGCGCACAAUAAUAGAGACGAUUCACACUUUCACAUCGGUGAAGCAGCCUUGGAAGAAAUAGAUUGUUGCUUCUUGAGAUCGGUUGUGCCAGAUUCCGUACGCGAGGUGA